CUGAUGUUAGCGGCGGACGGGUGAGUAACACGUGGGUAACCUGCCUGUAAGACUGGGAUAACUCCGGGAAACCGGGGCUAAUACCGGAUGCUUGAUUGAACCGCAUGGUUCAAUUAUAAAAGGUGGCUUUUAGCUACCACUUACAAAUGGACCCGCGGCGCAUUACCUAGUUGGUGAGGUAACGGCUCACCAAGGCAACAAUGCGUAGCCAACCUGAAAGGGUGAUCGGCCACACUGGGACUGAAACACGGCCCAAACUCCUACGGGA
Molecule: ribosomal RNA, 268 nt
Filed under: Bacillus licheniformis
Lineage: Bacteria; Bacillati; Bacillota; Bacilli; Caryophanales; Bacillaceae
Description: partial 16S ribosomal RNA
Rfam family: Bacterial small subunit ribosomal RNA
Source: RNAcentral